RNAcentral lists this long non-coding RNA (417 nucleotides) under Phoenix dactylifera (date palm). RNAcentral's name for it is "long non-coding RNA (PDAC_LNC008394)". Lineage: Eukaryota; Viridiplantae; Streptophyta; Magnoliopsida; Arecales; Arecaceae. The record is from RNAcentral.
UGAAAUAAGAGUACGUUUGGAGCAUCCUGUAGCCCAUCGCAUGAAGCCACCAUCGACGACGGCACCACCAUCCGAACCCAAACCUGAAAGAUGCUAGCCAUCGAUCGGGUCGGACGUUCGAAUCCUACCGAGACUUCGGGAUCCACACCCUAAACCGACCCGCUUGGAGUCGGUCCUUCAGAAGGCAGGCUCCUCGAUUCCUCUCCCCGGCCCUCUCCCCAUCCAUCUCCUGCUGAGCUCGUGCUCUGGUUGGAUUCCAAAUUUCUCUUUCGCGAUUCAGAGCUCCGGAUAGUUUCCUCAUGGGAACCCGCGCGCUUCCCAACCUCAGAUCACCCCUCCCCUCUCCUCCUCCACCGGCGCCAUCCCCUCUCAGAAACGAUCGGUGGAGGAUCUCUCCAUUCCCCUCCUCAACAANNN